GAAUAUAGAGUAUCUAAAAGACCAAAAGACAACCAUAAUGUUUGGAGAUUAAAAGCCAAAGUGAAAGUACCAUGGCUUCCAGGGUUGAGCAUGUGAAAGGCAUUAUUGUUAAAGAUAAAGUGGUGCUGUCAGUCAAGAGUUUAAUGAUAAUCUUGGCUAAGAUACCUGACGGAAAGAGUAUGUUGAAGUUGAGCCAGCGCCUUAAUGCAUUGCACAAUUGCAUGUUUGGAUCAAAGUGGGUAGCUUUUAUUGAUAUGGGGCAGGGAGCGCCCGGAUAGUUAUUCCCCUCAGUACUCGCACUCUCCACGCCCUCGGGACAGCAGGCACCACAGGUCAGAUGGUCGCUCUCCAACUCCAAGCCUAGAUGACCACAAACCUAAGGCGACACCAGUCAAUGGUGGACAUGGUCCAGCAGUUGCAUCCAGAUAGUAUGAUGCCAUUAUGGAUGCCUUGAAUUGUGUUCGGAGGCUGGAGACUGCAGACUAUCUUUUCACCAAUCUUCUCUAAGAGAUGAGUAGGGUUGUAGUAAACAGAUACUUGGUAGUUGUAUUACAGGUGAUGGUUUCGGUUAUGAGGUGCGCUGUUGCUUUUGUGACGCUGCUUUAAUGCUUUCCCAACCGAGGGUAGUAGGGUACCGUCGUGGAAUUUUGCGUGUUUGUUUUUUGGCUACAAUAUUACUAAUACUAGUAACUUGCUCGCUUCGAGCGCGAGUCUUUAUCUAUGUGUCUACACAUCCAAAAGAUCGUUGUUGUAGAUUAUAUAGAAUCGGCACAUUCAAUAAAAAUUAGGAAGGGAG
RNAcentral lists this long non-coding RNA (796 nucleotides) under Zea mays. RNAcentral's name for it is "drought responsive lncRNA". The record is from RNAcentral. Lineage: Eukaryota; Viridiplantae; Streptophyta; Magnoliopsida; Poales; Poaceae.